ACCAGCAUGGUUUAAUGGUUUGAGAGUUUGACUAUGACUCUGGAGACCUGGGUUCAAUUCCCAUUUUGGCC
Molecule: non-coding RNA, 71 nt
Organism: Phrynosoma platyrhinos (Desert horned lizard)
Lineage: Eukaryota; Metazoa; Chordata; Lepidosauria; Squamata; Phrynosomatidae
Source: the annotation of a GenBank genome assembly